Molecule: non-coding RNA, 796 nt
Organism: Chelonoidis abingdonii (Abingdon island giant tortoise)
Lineage: Eukaryota; Metazoa; Chordata; Testudines; Testudinidae
Source: RefSeq, a predicted model, not a curated record
GAGCCGGGCUGGCCCUGCCAGGCGCUGGGCUCCCCUGGAAGCUAGUCCCGAGCGGAGGGCUCUAUUGUUAUUUAUUGUGCGGCUGUUGCACGCUGUGCCUGCUGCCCAGGCUCGGCGCAUGGGGCUUGCCCGGCUAGAGUACAGGGAGGGACGGGCAGGCAGACUCACCCGCGCUGGGGGGAGCCCGUAGUGGGCACCGACAGGCCGUCUCCAGCGGAGCCCAAAGUUUUGCCUGCCGGAGCAGCAGCAGCAUUUGCUGAGGAGCUGUGUACUGGCGAUCAUUCACUCAGAGCCUUUCUCACUGCUAUCUCUCGUCAAUCUCCUGAGAACUACUUUCUGAGUGAUUCCAGCUUCCGAACAUGUUUCCCAUGGUAGGGGUUUUGAUCCCUUGCCAGAUUUGCCCUGAGCCAUGAGUGAAUAUGUGUAAUGCUCACAAGUAAAACUGUUUCCCAGUUAAAUCUGCUUUGAUGUAGAUGUUUUCCAUUCUUCCUAUGAGCCUGCUAACGGAAUUAUUUUAUUCACAUCUGCCUGUGAAGGUAGUAGAUUGUAAAUGGUGAGUAAGGUUUUAAUUGCAUGGCCCUUAGCAAAGACCCCAGUUCAGCAAGCUACAUAAGCAUGUACUUACAUUUUAAGCACACAGGUAAUUCCAUAAAUCAGUGGGAUACAAAUGUUUGAAGGUAGGCAUAUGCCAAAGUACCUUGCUGAAUCGUGGCCAAAAUGGAAUUGGCAAAGUAAAACUCAUGUACCAUUAUAAACUUUUGUAUUAACUUAUAUAUGGCAAAUUUUUAAUAAAAAA